Molecule: ribosomal RNA, 506 nt
Filed under: uncultured bacterium
Lineage: Bacteria
Description: partial 16S ribosomal RNA
Rfam family: Bacterial small subunit ribosomal RNA
Source: RNAcentral
AGUGAACGCUGGCGGUAGGCCUAACACAUGCAAGUCGAACGGCAGCACAGAGGAGCUUGCUCCUUGGGUGGCGAGUGGCGGACGGGUGAGGAAUACAUCGGAAUCUACUCUGUCGUGGGGGAUAACGUAGGGAAACUUACGCUAAUACCGCAUACGACCUACGGGUGAAAGCAGGGGACCUUCGGGCCUUGCGCGAUUGAAUGAGCCGAUGUCGGAUUAGCUAGUUGGCGGGGUAAAGGCCCACCAAGGCGACGAUCCGUAGCUGGUCUGAGAGGACUAUCAGCCACACUGGAACUGAGACACGGUCCAGACUCCUACGGGAGGCAGCAGUGGGGAAUAUUGGUCAAUGGGCGCAAGCCUGAUCCAGCCAUACCGCGUGGGUGAAGAAGGCCUUCGGGUUGUAAAGCCCUUUUGUCGGGAAAGAAAUCCAGCUGGCUAAUACCCGGUUGGGAUGACGGUACCCAAAGAAUAAGCACCGGCUAACUUCAUGCCAGCCGCCGCCGUAA